Long non-coding RNA from Hemibagrus wyckioides, 494 nucleotides. RefSeq lists it as uncharacterized. Lineage: Eukaryota; Metazoa; Chordata; Actinopteri; Siluriformes; Bagridae. The transcript is spliced from 3 exons. The record is from RefSeq and is a predicted model, not a curated record.
GGGGUGACGAGAUCCAAUCGAAGACUCCAGAAUCAAUCCUAACGAACCCUUUCACUGGACCGUGACCUUGUGUCAUGGCUGCAGGCUCGUAGACUCGCGCUGUGUCUUUUAUCAGGUGUCUCGUUUGGUCAAGAUUGGGGGUGCAAACCUUGAGGACUGUGUGAAAAAUGUGAUGAAAAGGUGCUGUACAGCAGUCAGACCCAGUAUCAUCAGAGGCUGAUAUAAAAAAAAAAAAAAAAACACACAUCAAGAACUGUCUCCAAUCUGCUCCUGACAGAUAUGGGGGUAUGGGACGCCAAAAGGGCCGAACAGCAAUUGAUCUGUGUUCAGAUUCAGAAUCUUAAUUUAUCCAUAAUUAUCUAUCAUUCAUAUGUCCAAAGUAUGUAGUAUAGCAACAUAGUACAGUAUAGAAACCUUCAGGGGAUACAAAAUCCAGAUUAUAUUUGUAUUGUAUUUUGAAUUGAAGCCUAUUAAAUAAAAUAUUUCUUAUUUUA